CUACGGGGGGCUGCAGUGGGGAAUAUUGCGCAAUGGAGGAAACUCUGACGCAGCCAUGCCGCGUGAGUGAAGAAGGCCUUAGGGUUGUAAAGCUCUUUCAGACGUGAUGAUGAUGACAGUAACGUCAAAAGAAGUUCCGGCUAACUUCGUGCCAGCAGCCGCGGUAAUACGAAGGGAACUAGCGUUGUUCGGAUUUACUGGGCGUAAAGAGCAUGUAGGCGGAUUGGUCAGUUGGGGGUGAAAGCCCGGAGCUCAACUCCGGAACUGCCUUCAAUACUGCCAGUCUAGAGUCCGUAAGGGGGUGGUGGAAUUCCGAGUGUAGAGGUGAAAUUCGUAGAUAUUCGGAGGAACACCAGUGGCGAAGGCGACCACCUGGUACGGUACUGACGCUGAGAUGCGAAAGCGUGGGGAGCAAACAGGAUUAGAUACCCCGGUAGUC
Molecule: ribosomal RNA, 439 nt
Filed under: uncultured bacterium
Lineage: Bacteria
Description: partial 16S ribosomal RNA
Rfam family: Bacterial small subunit ribosomal RNA
Source: RNAcentral